Molecule: ribosomal RNA, 67 nt
Filed under: Escherichia coli
Lineage: Bacteria; Pseudomonadati; Pseudomonadota; Gammaproteobacteria; Enterobacterales; Enterobacteriaceae
Also listed under: 31 other names
Description: partial 16S ribosomal RNA
Rfam family: Bacterial small subunit ribosomal RNA (bases 1-55)
Source: RNAcentral
GGUGAAGUCGUAACAAGGUAACCGUAGGGGAACCUGCGGUUGGAUCACCUCCUUACCUUAAAGAAGC